RNAcentral lists this long non-coding RNA (414 nucleotides) under Pan troglodytes (chimpanzee). RNAcentral describes it as "long non-coding RNA NONPTRT005022". Lineage: Eukaryota; Metazoa; Chordata; Mammalia; Primates; Hominidae. The record is from RNAcentral.
AGUUGGCUUUGUCCUAGGACCAUUAGAAUUGCCCUGCCUUCUUUUUAGUCCAUCGUUAUAUGUACAGAUAAUUUAUCUGGCAAAUUAUGAGACACAGGAGCAGAUAUUUUCCAUUGAAUUUCCCUGAUGAGUAUGAGGUUAAACAAACAAGAGAAGAUGAAGGAGGAAAAGAAGAAGAUGGAGGAGGACAAAGUUUUCAGAAGUGCUUAUUAGAGCUAUUACAUGCCAAAUAUCUACUCUGUGGGAAAAGCAAAUUUCACAUUUUUAUCAACUCUGUAUUCACACAUCUGAUCAAGAGAUGUUAGACGCCAGUUCUUGAGAAUGGCAGGACCACCUUGUGGACAUAACCUGGGUCGGUGAAUGACUGCACGGAGCAGAGUCCUACCUGUCAAGACGUCAGAUUAUGAUGUGAAU